GGUAAAAUACGGUAGUGAUAAAAAUAAACCCAGUAAAUAUUAGGAUCUAAAUAAGUAAGCCUAAUAUUAACUAAAAAGUGAAUCAAAGCUUUGGAGGAAAUAAAGCUUAUAAAAGACCCGAGGUAACGGGGUGUAUGUAACACCCUAAAACAUAAAUCCUUUUAUUAUAAAUCCGACGUUGAUAUUAACGAGAUAAACUAACUAGUGAUAAAACUAACCUAGUUAGAUAAGAGUUUAGUGAUAAUAAAUUAGAGUGUUAGAAACACCCAAAUAAAAACCUCAUGAAAGUAGGAGGGUUAAAAGUGCCAAGUAUGAAACAAGUUUUAUUAAACACAAAUAAAAUAAAAAUCCAACACACACACUGGUGUGUGGAUCGACCAGAACGCAGAAGGGGGUUUUCCAAAACCCUAACUCACCCAAAAAUUCACAAAUUGAAGGUCAAGAUCAAUUCCAAAACGAAAUCCGAGCCUAGAUUGGUGAUCUCCAUUACAAGGGGGUCAUAAGCGUAGGAGCCAUGUCAAUAUGGACACGAGCAUGGAAGGGCAAUGGGUCAAAGCUAAAAACGGAAGCUAUGCAUGAACUCGGACGCACGAGGAAUGAGAACGUCAGACUCUUGUAGAAUUGAAGCCGAACCUGGAAGCCGAACUCGAAACAAAGGAAUCCGAGAGGAUAGUCGAAUGAAUCAAAGUUUAUGUUGUUGAAUGUUAUAUGAUUUUUAAUUGUACCAGAUUAUUGUUGUAUGAUGUUGUCAAUGACUAAUGGUUAAGUUGUAUGUGAUGUCCACAGGUACUACACGGAUUUCUUCUACCACUAUCGAAGAUAAGCGGGCAUAGAUCGAGUCGAAUAACAAGGAUUGUACGGAAAGAACGAUUACGUAGUCUUAAUUUUGUAACGCAUUAAUUUGUAAAAAGGGAAGUGAAUUUUGUAAGCUUCUUCUUGAAUGUGUGUAUUGUUUUAAGAUCGUAAAGAAAUUUUU
Long non-coding RNA from Helianthus annuus (common sunflower), 976 nucleotides. RefSeq lists it as uncharacterized. Lineage: Eukaryota; Viridiplantae; Streptophyta; Magnoliopsida; Asterales; Asteraceae. The transcript is spliced from 3 exons. The record is from RefSeq and is a predicted model, not a curated record.